Molecule: ribosomal RNA, 315 nt
Filed under: Triticum aestivum (bread wheat)
Lineage: Eukaryota; Viridiplantae; Streptophyta; Magnoliopsida; Poales; Poaceae
Description: partial small subunit ribosomal RNA
Source: RNAcentral
AUGGACUAUACCACCAGGGAGGCCCUCACUCUGCGAGGGUGGGGAGCUCUUCGACCGGAUUGUUGUGAGGGGGCACUACACGGAACGCGCCACCAUUGUGGUCACCAAAACCAUCAUCAGGGUCGUGUGAACGGUUCACUGAGAUUGUUGGAAGGCCUUAUUACAUGGCUCGAGAAACUGUGGCCAAGAGAAACUGAACAAGGUGUUGCUCAAGCAAUUAUCCGGUCUCUCAUUGAUUUUAAAAGAGAUCCAUGGCCAAGGGUAUCAGAUAAUGUAAAAGACCUUGUCAGGGCCCAGAUCCAAGGAGGCGUUUGA